AGGAUACGCUGGCGGCGUGCCUAAACAUGCAAGUCGAGCGGAGGGGAUAGGAGUUUACUUCUUGAACCUUAGCGGCGGACGGGUGAGUAACACGUGGGUAAUCUGCCCUUGAGAGGGGGAUAACAGGUCGAAAGGCCUGCUAAUACCGCAUAACGCUAAGAAGCUGCAUGGCGUCUUAGCCAAAGGUUAAUUCCGCUCAAGGAUGAGCCCGCGGCCCAUUAGCUAGUUGGUGAGGUAAAGGCUCACCAAGGCAACGAUGGGUAGCCGGCCUGAGAGGGUGGUCGGCCACACUGGGACUGAGACACGGCCCAGACUCCUACGGGAGGCAGCAGUGGGGAAUAUUGCGCAAUGGGGGAAACCCUGACGCAGCGACGCCGCGUGAGCGAUGAAGGCCUUCGGGUUGUAAAGCUCUGUCUUCCCUGACGAUAAUGACGGUAAGGGAGGAGGAAGCCACGGCUAACUACGUGCCAGCAGCCGCGGUAAUACGUAGGUGGCAAGCGUUGUCCGGAAUUAUUGGGCGUAAAGGGUGCGUAGGCGGCUCUUUAAGUGGGAUGUGAAAUCCCUAGGCUCAACCUAGGAACUGCAUUCCAAACUGGAGAGCUAGAGUGCAGGAGAGGAAAGCGGAAUUCCCAGUGUAGCGGUGAAAUGCGUAGAGAUUGGGAGGAACACCAGUGGCGAAGGCGGCUUUCUGGACUGUAACUGACGCUGAGGCACGAAAGCGUGAGGAGCAAACAGGAUUAGAUACCCUGGUAGUCCACGCUGUAAACGAUGGGUACUAGGUGUAGGGGGCGAAUCCCUCUGUGCCGCAGCUAACGCAUUAAGUACCCCGCCUGGGA
Molecule: ribosomal RNA, 836 nt
Filed under: Caloramator coolhaasii
Lineage: Bacteria; Bacillati; Bacillota; Clostridia; Eubacteriales; Clostridiaceae
Description: bacterial SSU rRNA
Rfam family: Bacterial small subunit ribosomal RNA
Source: RNAcentral